This 200-nucleotide ribosomal RNA is filed under the name uncultured bacterium. RNAcentral's name for it is "partial 16S ribosomal RNA". It matches the Rfam family "Bacterial small subunit ribosomal RNA", at positions 1303 to 1500 of the family's 1533-position model. The record is from RNAcentral.
GUCUGCAACUCGACUACAUGAAGCUGGAAUCGCUAGUAAUCGCGAAUCAGAAUGUCGCGGUGAAUACGUUCCCGGGUCUUGUACACACCGCCCGUCACACCAUGGGAGUCAGUAACGCCCGAAGCCGGUGACCUAACCGAAAGGGGAGGAGCCGUCGAAGGUGGGACCGAUAACUGGGGGUGAAGUCGUAACAAGGUAUC